UUCCAGUAUCAAUCCAGUUCCUUUAAAGGCUCUGUAGAUUCUCUCAGCUUUCCUGAUAUCUUCCUGUGGUAAUUCUUGGAGCAAAACCUCAUGAUGGAAGCUACCAAUGACCUGAUGUGGAUGGGUAUAAUGGAAAUUUUAGGACAAAGAGGAUGAAGAUUAACAAGGAAAUAAAUGUAUUUCAUCGAUAGACUUGCUCCUGCAUGAGCUUGGAAUGGGCUGACUUACAAGACAAAGCUCACAUCUAUAUAACUUUGCUUUUGUUAUAUGUAUAAUCACUGAUCUGGCCAAGAUGUAUAAAACAUUAACAGGUGCAACACAUAGGACCCGCCUCUGCCAAUGCAU
This is a long non-coding RNA of Cebus imitator (Panamanian white-faced capuchin), 345 nucleotides long. RefSeq lists it as uncharacterized. The record is from RefSeq and is a predicted model, not a curated record. The transcript is spliced from 2 exons. NCBI's taxonomy places the organism in Eukaryota, Metazoa, Chordata, Mammalia, Primates, Cebidae.